GUGCUCGCUUCGGCAGCACAUAUACUACAACUGUGAACAAUACAGAGAAGAUUAGCAUUGGCCCCUGCCUAAGGAUGACACACAAAUUCAUGAAGCGUUCCAUAUUUUG
This is a small nuclear RNA of Pongo abelii (Sumatran orangutan), 109 nucleotides long. Lineage: Eukaryota; Metazoa; Chordata; Mammalia; Primates; Hominidae. The record is from Ensembl.